RNAcentral lists this long non-coding RNA (574 nucleotides) under Homo sapiens (human). RNAcentral describes it as "HSALNT0325907". The record is from RNAcentral. Lineage: Eukaryota; Metazoa; Chordata; Mammalia; Primates; Hominidae.
GGCCCGGGGGCCUGGGGCGGCUGCCAGCUGCCCUCCUGGAACGCGGCUCCUGCAGGACUUCCCGAAGGCUGCUCUCCGCCGGCUCCAGGGUUAUUAUAAAGAGGAUACCGACCAGCUGUUCAUCAUCUCUACAGAGGACAUAAGAGCUGUAAAAAGCUGAAGAAAGGAAGAAAGCGGAAAUUCCCAGGAGAAGAUCCCCGACCACAUCCAGGGCCACCAGCUCUCCACAAACACAAGGCCCAGCAGUGGCACCAAGCAAAGCAUGAGAAGAAACCUCAGGAUUCUGACACAAUCCACAAAUAUAACUUUGAAUUGUCCUGAAACUAAACAAUGACAAUUCUAUCCAAUCAACUUUCAGCUGACACACAGACGGGGUGGUGACUUAUUGGUGUUCCAGAUGUAGUUAAUGGAAACAUGAUGCCCAGAAUUAAAAAGGUAUUCAGUAAAUGUUGAUUGAAUGGAUGGAUGAGUGAAUGACGUCUGAACAGAUGCCCAUGUCUCUUUCCCUCUUCGCAGCUCUGUUGGGAAGAUGUCCUCAAUGCUUCAAACCUGGCCAGGCGUGGUGGCUCACGCC